ACAACGACCCAGGCCUUACGAGGCGCAGCAGGCGCGGAACCUCCGCAAUACACGAAAGUGUGACGGGGUUACCCAAAGUGUUCAAUAGAACUGUGGUAGGUGAGUAAUGUCCCCUACUAGAAAGGAGAGGGCAAGGCUGGUGCCAGCCGCCGCGGUAAAACCAGCUCUUCAAGUGGUCGGGAUAAUUAUUGGGCUUAAAGUGUCCGUAGCCGGUUUAGUAAGUUCCUGGUAAAAUCGGGUAGCUUAACUAUCUGCAUGCUAGGAAUACUGCUAUACUAGAGGGCGGGAGAGGUCUGAGGUACUACAGGGGUAGGGGUGAAAUCUUAUAAUCCUUGUAGGACCACCAGUGGCGAAGGCGUCAGACUGGAACGCGCCUGACGGUGAGGGACGAAAGCCAGGGGAGCGAACCGGAUUAGAUACCCGGGUAGUCCUGGCCGUAAACGAUGCAUACUAGGUGAUGGUACGGCCAUGAGCCGUAUCAGUGCCGUAAGGAAACCGUUAAGUGUGCCGCCUGGGAAGUACGGUCGCAAGGCUAAAACUUAAAGGAAUUGGCGGGGGAGCACCACAAGGGGUGAAGCCUGCGGUUCAAUUGGAUUCAACGCCGGGAAGGG
This 611-nucleotide ribosomal RNA is filed under the name uncultured archaeon. RNAcentral describes it as "bacterial SSU rRNA". It matches the Rfam family "Archaeal small subunit ribosomal RNA", at positions 308 to 927 of the family's 1478-position model. The record is from RNAcentral.